RNAcentral lists this ribosomal RNA (387 nucleotides) under uncultured bacterium. RNAcentral describes it as "partial 16S ribosomal RNA". It matches the Rfam family "Bacterial small subunit ribosomal RNA", at positions 338 to 722 of the family's 1533-position model. The record is from RNAcentral.
CCUACGGGUGGCAGCAGUGAGGAAUAUUGGUCAAUGGGCGUAAGCCUGAACCAGCCAAGUCGCGUGAAGGCAGAAGGUCCUAUGGUUUGUAAACUUCUUUUAUAGGGGAAUAAAGUGACCCACGUGUGGAGCUUUGCAUGUACCCUAUGAAUAAGCAUCGGCUAACUCCGUGCCAGCAGCCGCGGUAAUACGGAGGAUGCGAGCGUUAUCCGGAUUUAUUGGGUUUAAAGGGUGCGUAGGCGGGUUUUUAAGUCAGCGGUGAAAAUUUGUGGCUCAACCCGACAAUUGCCGUUGAAACUGGGAGACUUGAGUGUGUUCAGGGUAGGCGGAAUUCGUGGUGUAGCGGUGAAAUGCAUAGAUAUCACGAAGAACUCCGAUGGCGAAGGC